UACGGAGGGUGCAAGCGUUGUCCGGAUUUAUUGGGUUUAAAGGGUGCGUAGGCGGCCUUUUAAGUCAGUGGUGAAAUCCUCCAGCUUAACUGGAGAACUGCCAUUGAUACUGAAAAGGCUUGAGUACAGACGAGGGUAGGCGGAAUUGACAGUGUAGCGGUGAAAUGCAUAGAUAUUGUCAAGAACACCGAUUGCGUAGGCAGCUUACUAGGCUGUAACUGACGCUGAGGCACGAAAAGUGCGGGGAUCAAACAGG
Molecule: ribosomal RNA, 256 nt
Filed under: uncultured bacterium
Lineage: Bacteria
Description: partial 16S ribosomal RNA
Rfam family: Bacterial small subunit ribosomal RNA
Source: RNAcentral